CACGUAGGGUGCGAGCGUUGUCCGGAAUUACUGGGCGUAAAGAGCUCGUAGGUGGUUUGUCGCGUUGUCCGUGAAAACUCACAGCUCAACUGUGGGCGUGCGGGCGAUACGGGCAGACUGGAGUACUGCAGGGGAGACUGGAAUUCCUGGUGUAGCGGUGGAAUGCGCAGAUAUCAGGAGGAACACCGGUGGCGAAGGCGGGUCUCUGGGCAGUAACUGACGCUGAGGAGCGAAAGCGUGGGGAGCGAACAGG
This 253-nucleotide ribosomal RNA is filed under the name uncultured bacterium. RNAcentral describes it as "partial 16S ribosomal RNA". It matches the Rfam family "Bacterial small subunit ribosomal RNA", at positions 524 to 776 of the family's 1533-position model. The record is from RNAcentral.